Molecule: long non-coding RNA, 2949 nt
Organism: Numida meleagris (helmeted guineafowl)
Lineage: Eukaryota; Metazoa; Chordata; Aves; Galliformes; Numididae
Exons: 2
Source: RefSeq, a predicted model, not a curated record
GUUUGACGCACUUUGAAUUAGGUUGAGUGUAAACUGCAUUGAAACUCCUCUGGGCUCCGUGUCCAGCAGCAUCCUUCUGCUCAAGAGGGAUCUAAGUGGCUCCGUGUGGUGUUUGAGGUCCUUUCCCAUGCUGAUUCAAUGCAUUCGGAAGACGUCAUCCCCACACACAGGCACGGAGUGCUGGAGGGCCACAGCCUCCCCAGCCCCUGGGGCUGCACAGGGCUCUCUCAGAGCCUCAUGUUGGGACGGUUUGGGGUUUCGUUUCUGCCCCCCAGUCCCUGUGCUGGGCUCGGCCCACCACAGUUGUGUUUCUUUAUUUCUGAUCCUGCUUCCCUCCCUCCUUGCCCUUGCUGCUGAGGUUAAUUAAAGGCCACGGGAGGCGGAUCUGUUUGCAUCUGAAGGAAGCAGCACCGCAGUGCUGUGAUACACAGAGAUGAGUGGUGAGGUUCCGGCCCGAUGGAGAUGUGCUGCUUCCGCUGAUAGGAAGGAGCUGGGUGAGCAGAGCCCUCCCGCAGGAGAGGGGCCAGCGUGGGCUGGGGAAGCCUCUGCGCUUGGGCAGAUAAAGCUGAACUGCAGCCACUCGUGCCCACACAGAGCUGUGUUUUUCCAGAGAUGUGCUGUCUCCACCCAGCACCCCCAGGAGAGCAGAGCGCUCCCUGUUCACCACAACCUUCUGCCUACACAGAGCUGUGGAGCCAUAGGAUGGUUGAAGUUGGAAGGGACCACAAAGAUCACCCAGUUCCAGCCCUGUGGCUCUGGGGAGCUGCAGGAGGGAAUCCUUAUGUUGGGAGAUGUUAUCAAGAUCCAUUGCUACAUGAUCCCAUCUUCUCCAACUCUUUGAGAGAGUAAGGCCCUCCUGUGCUCUCACACCAUUGGGAAAAUCCCAAAUCCUCUCCCAUCGCCUGUGUGGGCCCUUCCCAGCAACAAGGGUGCAGCCCAGGGUGCUGGGCCAGGGCUGCUGCUCUGUGAGGUAAGGACGGAGCUGGAGCCCGGGUGGUAGGAACUGUAAAUUUGGUUUGGCAACCUGAGGAGCAGUUCGUUUCUUUUUCUUCAGUGUAUGAAUGGCCUCUUCUGUGAAGGCUGCAACUCUGAGCCUGGCUGCUGUUUGAUGAGAUUCCUCUAUUCCGAGGAGAAAAUGAUCCUAUUUCCUUUGCUUUCCCCAUAUUCCCACACCCCUGUGCUGAGCGUGUUGAGAGGUGGGGUUCCGCUGGCAGGGACAGGGAAGAUGCAAUGUUAGAUGUUUUGCUUUUGUGAUUCUCUCAGGAUUUAUGAACCAUUACAACAUGACUCAUGCAGCCGCAUAUUUUCCAUGCCUCAACCAGGAUCCUUUCCAUGCUCUGUAUGCGAAAAAUUAGCCAUAAUCAGGUUCAGAUAGUGUGCAAAUCGCAGCCCUGCUUCCUAUGGCCAGGUCUCUGGAGUGGAGCAGGGAGAGGUUACUCACUGCUCUAUCCUUCAUUUUUCAGAUGCUGUGUGAUCUUUAGUGAUUGCUGUAGAUGCAGAACAGCUUGCUAGAAAAUUUUCAUGCCAGAGGAGCUCAGCUGCAAACCAGCAGGUGUGAGGAGAGAGCUCUUGGUGCAGGCUGAGCUCGUGUUCCUGCUGCAGAACGAGAGGCAGUGGCUCCGGGCAGAGCCACAGGAGCACGCAGCGUUUCCACUGCUGUCAGCACAACCUCACAUUUUCCGUGCAUGCAAUGCUGCUUUUCCCAGCCACUGGGUGUGCGAGCAUCGGAGCCUCCUCCAAAUCGCGGCACAGAAAACCUCCACGGAGCACUGAGCAAGAAACGCGGGUCCUCCCAGCCCAGGUUUGUCUCUGCUAAGCCCAGCACCUCCAAGAGGACACUUCUGUGUAAAAUGCACUGCGUCCUCCGUGAUGUCACCACCAUCAUUGAAAUCAAAUUAUUCGUGCCGUUUAUUCACCGGAGGAUUGAUCGUUAGCGGAACAGCAGUUUGUUUCCCUGCGAGCAGGCGCUGUGCUGCAUGGAAAGCGGAGUCGCCCUUUGUUAUGGCAACGGAAGCGUUGAGGAUGAUGUAAAGGAAACUCCUAUCAGAUCUGGGUCACAUCACUACAGCUCAGUCUGCACACUGCUCUCAUCCAUUUGUUGCGCAGAGCUCCCAGGGAAUGGUCCAACAUGUUAUUACCCAGGAAUUUGGGGAGAUUGAGGGGAAGGCGGGUGGGGGUUAUUUUCAUGGUUGUAGUUUUCCCUUCUUAACCUGGAGCAGAUGUGCUGAUAGAUUUUGGAGCUGGAAUCAGGCACUGCAGGGGCUGCCGUACGGAGCAUGCGAGCAGUGGGGCUGGGCCCGGACCUUGGUUUUGCACCACACCUCUCCCAGCAAAGGUGCUGCUAGGAAUGAAGCAACACACAGAGCUGUGCGCGAGCGGCUCCGCAGGAUGUUUUCUUUUGAAAUCUGUUUCGACACGGAGCAACUGUGCCACCUCACGGCCGCCUGUGCUCUCAGCUGCGCUCCAGCAGCGCUCCUGGCAGCACAGUGUGUGCGGAGCUGCAGGCGCUGCCUUCCCACGCGGGAUCUCCGGCUGCACUGCGUGUAGGAAACCUUUCCCUUUCGUGUUACGCAGUGCGCUCACUUAACCACGCUGAUAAGUUUAAAGAUUCGCUGCCUGCUGGAAGUGAGCUGGCACGCAGAUCAGUCCAGCUGCGUGCAGCUCCCUGUAACUGCUGGAGGGCAGACUCAUCCAGCCUUCCAACUGCGUUUUUCUACCGUUUAGAACUCGGUUUCAGGUGCAGGACAAUCAGUUCUGGGGGUUGUCAGAAGGUUUACAUCAAAUCUUAAGCCCACUUAAAACACCGAGACCUGCAGACUUUUAAAAUCAGUAUUUUAUUUGACUUGAAUGUGCAAAUAAAUAUAAAAAAAAAAAAACUACAUUCAAAGAGCUGGCAAAGCAAUGAUAAGCCCAAAAGCAAAGAUCCUUCAAAAAAAAAAAAAAAAAAAG